CAGCUUCUCCCCUACACCCACGCCCUCCCUACAAGUCCCUACCGACGUCACGCCCCACCACGUCCGCCACGCCCCUGUCUCACACCCACAACCACGCCCACCCCACCUUACCACGCCCCGCCACGCCCCAGCAAGUCACCGCCGCGUCCUCCAGCCACGCCCCACGCCCGCAGCCCCGCCCACCUCACCCUGCCACGCCCAGUAAGUCCUCGUAGACGCCACGCCCCCACCAAGUCCACCACGCCCUCAGUCCGCCUUGGCCUCGGGCCCCGCCCCUUUCUUAGGCAUCGCCCACGGAGUCUCCUCCUCCAGGCCUCAAGGGUCUUUCUCACCCGCUGAACCUGUGAGGCCCAGGCGUAUUUUGCACCAUGGUGAGAGAAAAUACCAGGUUGCUAUGAAAGAAACAGUUCUUUCUGCAAAGGUUUGGAAUCAAGAUUAAGUCUUGAGAUCAAUACAGCUUGCUUGCUAGUGUAAACAGCUCGCAACUCGUCUGUUGCCUUGGGAGCAGCUCCAGCCUCGGCCCCACAGUCAUCCCCUCUGGUGGUUUAGAAGUGUCUUAACAGCUCAGGAGAGCACGCCAUAGCCAGACUUGUUGAAUGAAUGAAUGAACGCUACCACCAAAGAGCACUGAAUGAUCCUUAGGUGAACUUAGACAAUGCUCCGGGAGACUUGGAAAGGACAUUCAGUCCAUCAUUUUGUGUAAGUUUCGAGUUUUGGAUUGUCUCUCUUCACGUGAUGGCCCACACCCCUGCAAAAUAAUAACCAAGCGUCAUUAAAGGGACAAGUGCCUCUUCCAUGGCCUGUGGAGCCGCUGCAGCUCGAGCUACUGAUGAGGGAGCAUCAGGCAAGCUGACACCUCCCCCUUCUCCCCCUCCCCUGCAACCUGCACCCCCCCUCCUGCCCGGGGGAAUAUGUGGAUAGGUCUGGCAUUCCUCAGGCACUCCUGGCUGCCCAAGAACAAAGGACAGGGAAAAACAAACGGUUAACUGAUAGAGAUCACUGUCCUUUCAGUUUACAAGUGUUCUAGUAAAUUGUGAGAAAAAGGCAAUCUUAUCAAUAGCCUAAUCUCCAGAAAGCUAUAGACUCAGUUUCCUGAAGACCCAACAUCACCCUCCCCACUAUAGUGAUGUGGGGAACAAAGGCAAAAAGGAAACGGGGUAGGUAAAAUUAAAUUUCCUGAUAACCCGCAGCCCAUUGACAAAUACUUGAAGCAAAUACAGAGUAUAACAUUCUUCCAGGAACUCCCUCCUGUCUGAACUUGAAUACCUUACUAAGUGAACAACCUUAGCUUGACAAUAGCUAGGCCUCCAGUAUCUUAUGAGCCUUCGUUAGCAUAUGGAAGUCCUUCUGGAGGCCUCCCUUUUGCCUUUAACUUUCCCCACCUCCUUAGUAUAUAACUAGUCACUCUACAACCCCAGUGCCGCACUUUCUGCCCAGGGGUCUUGUCCCCUUGCUUUAACAAUAUCACCUUUUUGCAUCAAAGACAUCUCAAGAAUUCUUUCUUGGCCAUCAGCUCCAGAUCCCUACUUCUCCAAACCUCAUCACGACCAUAUCAGAUGUCUUUCUCCCCGGAUUCUUCCUCUGUCCUCUGGGGGAAAUGGCGAUGUCUCAGUACAAUCUGAUGAAUGAGUUAUUUCUUGCAGCUUCCUGGUUGGUGUCUUCCUGGAAUGGGAAAGACCAUUGCUCAAGAACGUUUGGCUUUCCUGGAAAUUGGGACUGUGAGUAAAAAGAUUGAUUCAUUCUUCCUUGGCAACUUUAAAUUGAGCUUUUUGGCCCAUUUGUGACUUUACUUAUACAAAGACAUCUAAGCAGAAGAAAGAAAAUAGGCCUGAUUCGGAGUCACAGUAAUCCCUAUGUUGAAGAAGGCCUUUGGAGAAUGCCUGCCCUGAAGCUCUGUAGGGUCCGUGCCAUUGGGACAACCAAAAUGCUGCCUGAGUAAAGAGAUCAGCAGCCA
Molecule: long non-coding RNA, 1954 nt
Organism: Felis catus (domestic cat)
Lineage: Eukaryota; Metazoa; Chordata; Mammalia; Carnivora; Felidae
Exons: 5
Source: RefSeq, a predicted model, not a curated record